Molecule: ribosomal RNA, 492 nt
Filed under: uncultured bacterium
Lineage: Bacteria
Description: partial 16S ribosomal RNA
Rfam family: Bacterial small subunit ribosomal RNA
Source: RNAcentral
AGUGAACGCUGGCGGUAGGCCUAACACAUGCAAGUCGAACGGCAGCACAGUAAGAGCUUGCUCUUACGGGUGGCGAGUGGCGGACGGGUGAGGAAUACAUCGGAAUCUACUUUUUCGUUGGGGAUAACGUAGGGAAACUUACGCUAAUACCGCAUACGACCUACGGGUGAAAGCAGGGGAUCUUCGGACCUUGCGCGAUUGAAUGAGCCGAUGUCGGAUUAGCUAGUUGGCGGGGUAAAGGCCCACCAAGGCGACGAUCCGUAGCUGGUCUGAGAGGAUGAUCAGCAACACUGGAACUGAGACACGGUCCAGACUCCUACGGGAGGCAGCAGUGGGGAAUAUUGGACAAUGGGCGCAAGCCUGAUCCAGCCAUACCGCGUGGGUGAAGAAGGCCUUCGGGUUGUAAAGCCCUUUUGUUGGGAAAGAAAAGCAGCAGGUUAAUACCCCGCUGUUCUGACGGUACCCAAAGAAUAAGCACCGGCUAACUUCGUG